ACACCUGGAAACAGAUGCUAAUACCGGAUAACAACAGAUGAUGCCUAUCAACUGUUUAAAAGAUGGUUCUGCUAUCACUCUUGGAUGGACCUGCGGUGCAUUAGCUAGUUGGUAGGGUAACGGCCUACCAAGGCGAUGAUGCAUAGCCGAGUUGAGAGACUGAUCGGCCACAUUGGGACUGAGACACGGCCCAAACUCCUACGGGAGGCAGCAGCUA
This 217-nucleotide ribosomal RNA is filed under the name uncultured Lactobacillus sp. Its description in RNAcentral is "partial 16S ribosomal RNA". It matches the Rfam family "Bacterial small subunit ribosomal RNA", at positions 146 to 355 of the family's 1533-position model. Lineage: Bacteria; Bacillati; Bacillota; Bacilli; Lactobacillales; Lactobacillaceae. The record is from RNAcentral.